CGCUGUUUAACGAGGGGAAUCCAGCCCGUAUAUUUAUUGUAGCCGCUGAAAAAAAUCUCUUCAAUAUCCCCCAAGAUGGCCGCCGAUGUGGGAUCGAUGUUUCAAUAUUGGAAGAAAUUUGAUCUACGGCGGCUUCAGAGGGAGCUGAACUCGGUGGCGUCUCAGCUGGCAGGUCGACAGGAAGAGAGUGACCACUCACACAGACACCUGCUGGAGCUCAGCCGCGAGUUCAAGAAAAAUGUCCCAGAGGAAGUGCGGGAGCUGGUCGCACCAGUCCUCAAGAGUUUCCAGGCCCAGGU
Molecule: long non-coding RNA, 299 nt
Organism: Alosa sapidissima (American shad)
Lineage: Eukaryota; Metazoa; Chordata; Actinopteri; Clupeiformes; Clupeidae
Exons: 3
Source: RefSeq, a predicted model, not a curated record